CCUACGGGAGGCAGCAGUGAGGAAUAUUGGGCAAUGGGCGAGAGCCUGAACCAGCCAAGUCGCGUGAAGGAUGAAGGAUCUAUGGUUUGUAAACUUCUUUUAUAUGGGAAUAAAGUGAGGAACGUGUUCCUUUUUGUAUGUACCAUAUGAAUAAGCAUCGGCUAACUCCGUGCCAGCAGCCGCGGUAAUACGGAGGAUGCGAGCGUUAUCCGGAUUUAUUGGGUUUAAAGGGUGCGUAGGUGGUUAAUUAAGUCAGCGGUGAAAGUUUGUGGCUCAACCAUAAAAUUGCCGUUGAAACUGGUCAUCUGGAGUGAGCGAGAAGUAUGCGGAAUGCGUGGUGUAGCGGUGAAAUGCAUAGAUAUCACGCAGAACUCCGAUUGCGAAGGCAGCAUACCGGCGCUCAACUGACGCUGAGGCACGAAAGCGUGGGGAGCGAACAGGAUUAGAUACCCGGGUAGUC
This 460-nucleotide ribosomal RNA is filed under the name uncultured bacterium. RNAcentral's name for it is "partial 16S ribosomal RNA". It matches the Rfam family "Bacterial small subunit ribosomal RNA", at positions 338 to 795 of the family's 1533-position model. The record is from RNAcentral.